AUUGAACGCUGGCGGCAGGCCUAACACAUGCAAGUCGAGCGAGCGGCGGACGGGUGAGUAAUGUCUGGGAAACUGCCGGAUGGAGGGGGAUAACUACUGGAAACGGUAGCUAAUACCGCAUACCAUCAGAUGUGCCCCGAGGGGAUGAGCUAGUAGGUGGGGUAACGGCUCACCUAGGCGACGAUCCCUAGCGGGUCUGAGAGGAUGACCCGCCACACUGGAACGUAGACACGUUCCAGACCCCUACGGGGGGAAGAAGUGGGGAAGAUGGCAAAAUGGGCGCAAGCCUGAUGCGGCCAGGCCGCGUGUGGGAAGAAGGCCUUCGGGUUGUAAAGCACUGUCAGCGGGGAGGCGGUACCCGAAGAAGAAGCACCGGCUAACUCCGUGCCAGCAGCCGCGGUAAUUC
RNAcentral lists this ribosomal RNA (406 nucleotides) under uncultured bacterium. Its description in RNAcentral is "partial 16S ribosomal RNA". It matches the Rfam family "Bacterial small subunit ribosomal RNA", at positions 29 to 526 of the family's 1533-position model. The record is from RNAcentral.